ACCGGCAGCCAUAUCACCCUGUAGCCCAAGACUGGUCGCCACUGAAGCUAAGCAGGGCUGAGCCUGGUCAGUACCUGGAUGGGAGACCUCCUGGGAAAACUAACUGGAUUCGUUU
Molecule: ribosomal RNA, 115 nt
Filed under: Sinocyclocheilus rhinocerous
Lineage: Eukaryota; Metazoa; Chordata; Actinopteri; Cypriniformes; Cyprinidae
Source: RNAcentral